This is a long non-coding RNA of Bolinopsis microptera, 807 nucleotides long. RefSeq lists it as uncharacterized. Lineage: Eukaryota; Metazoa; Ctenophora; Tentaculata; Lobata; Bolinopsidae. The record is from RefSeq and is a predicted model, not a curated record. The transcript is spliced from 3 exons.
AAGGAAAGUAUUGGUGGUGAAUACAACACGUGACAGACAUUUGGCCGAUUUCCUGGAUAUUAUCAGAAAGGACAUCACGCCUGACCUCAUAAUAUUUGUCCUAACAUCGCCAGCAACAAAUAUAUCGUCAAAGACUGUGAAUGGCCGGAGGAUAUGAAGCAAGCUAUGAUAAAAAGAGCACAUCAGAACAAAGACGAGUGGAGCGAGACUGGUAUUCCUGCACUGUCCUUCUCCUCAGUUGAAGAAGGUGUGCGGCACAUAGAGCAAUUAGCCCAGUCCUCCAACCAGGAAACUGAUGUCCUGAUAACAGGAAGCUUACACUUGAUUGGAGCCUCACUCCAGGUCCUUCAUCCCACCUUUCUGGAGGAUGGAAUGGGUGGUGGAAAUCAGGAGGGUGCUCAGAAAGCAAACUCUGCCUGACUUGUGACUAGUUCUGAGGACGCGCCAGAUUUAUAACUUAUUUGAACUCAUCAUCACGUCACUUUCUCAUUCGAUUUUAGAGAGCUAGAGGAAAUUUUAUCGGACUCUAAGCUAGCUGCUAGAGGAAAUUUUAUCGGAUUCGUUGUCAACUUUUUUAGUUACCAUGCCCAUCACAAGAUUUGAAGGGGUCUGAGUCAUAUUUUUUUAUUUUUCUAAAUGUUUUCAGACUUAAUAUCGGAGGGUAAUUUAUUAAAGGUGUAGCAAUCGGUAAAUGAAUGGAAAUUCUAUUUUAUCAGAUUUUUUUAUUAUCUUCUGUAAAGAUGUUAAGAUGUAUAACGUGUUGUUAAUCUAUACCUAACUUUUUAAUAUUCAUUGUCUUACAAAAUA